RNAcentral lists this ribosomal RNA (1391 nucleotides) under metagenome. Its description in RNAcentral is "bacterial LSU rRNA". It matches the Rfam family "Bacterial large subunit ribosomal RNA", at positions 1509 to 2925 of the family's 2925-position model. The record is from RNAcentral.
UGUGCAAGCACAAUAGAUGUGUGGGAGGAAAAUCCCCCGCAUAAGUCAAAGGUGUGAUGCGGACCGAAAAAGAGUAGGGAAGCUGUUAAGCAAGCCGUCAAGAAAAGCUGCUAUUGUUUCAUUAUGGCCCGUACCGUAAACCGACACAGGUGGAUGGGGAGAGAAUCCUAAGGCCGGCGGAAGAGGUAUUGUUAAGGAACUCGGCAAAAUGACCCCGUAACUUCGGGAGAAGGGGUGCCUGCGAGAGCAGGCCGCAGAGAAGAGGCCCAAGCAACUGUUUAGCAAAAACACAGGUCUAUGCAAAACCGAAAGGUGAGGUAUAUGGGCUGACGCCUGCCCGGUGCUGGAAGGUUAAGGGGAGUGGUCAGGAAACGAAGCCACGAACUUAAGCCCCAGUAAACGGCGGCCGUAACUAUAACGGUCCUAAGGUAGCGAAAUUCCUUGUCGGGUAAGUUCCGACCCGCACGAAAGGCGUAAUGAUUUGGGCGCUGUCUCGACAAUACAUCCGGUGAAAUUGAAGUGCCAGUGAAGAUGCUGGCUACCUGCGCCAGGACGGAAAGACACCAUGGAGCUUUACUCCAGCUUGAUACUGGGACCCGGUAUUGCAUGUACAGGAUAGGUGGGAGGCUAGGAAAUGUGGACGCCAGUCUGCAUGGAGCCGCUGUUGGGAUACCACCCUUGUGGUGCUGGGUUUCUAACCAGAGGCCGUGAACCGGUCUGGGGACAAUGUCAGGUGGGGAGUUUGACUGGGGCGGUCGCCUCCGAAAGGGUAUCGGAGGCGCCCAAAGGUUCCCUCAGAAUGGUUGGAAACCAUUCGAAGAGUGCAAAGGCAGAAGGGAGCUUGACUGCGACACCGACGGGUGGAGCAGGUACGAAAGUAGGGCUUAGUGAUCCGGUGGAAUUUAAGUGGGAAUGCCAUCGCUCAACGGAUAAAAGCUACCCUGGGAUAACAGGCUGAUCACUCCCAAGAGUUCACAUCGACGGAGUGGUUUGGCACCUCGAUGUCGGCUCAUCGCAUCCUGGGGCUGAAGUCGGUCCCAAGGGUUGGGCUGUUCGCCCAUUAAAGCGGUACGCGAGCUGGGUUCAGAACGUCGUGAGACAGUUCGGUCCCUAUCCGGCGUGGGCGUAGGAUAUCUGAGAGGAGCUGUCCUUAGUACGAGAGGACCGGGAUGGACUGACCUCUGGUGUACCGGUUGGCGAUCAACGCCACGGCCGGGUAGCCAUGUCGGGACGGGAUAAACGCUGAAGGCAUCUAAGCGCGAAGCCCCCCUCAAGAUGAGAUAUCCCAUCGUAAGAGUAAGACCCCUUGAAGACGACGAGGUUGAUAGGGCAGGGGUGGAAGUGCUGUAAGGCAUGGAGCUGACUGCUACUAAUCGGUCGAGGGCUUGACU